CGGAUUGUAGGCUGCAACUCGCCUGCAUGAAGUUGGAGUUGCUAGUAACCGCGCGUCAGCAAUAGUGCGGUGAAUACGUUCCCGGGGCUUGUACACACCGCCCGUCACGUCAUGGAAGCUGGCAACGCCUGAAGUCGGUAUCCUAACCGCAAGGAGGGAGCUGCCUAAGGUGGGGCUGGUAACUGGGACGAAGUCGUAACAAGGUAGGUGUACCGGAAGGUGCGCCUGGAUCACCUCCUUUCU
RNAcentral lists this ribosomal RNA (243 nucleotides) under Gammaproteobacteria bacterium. Its description in RNAcentral is "partial 16S ribosomal RNA". It matches the Rfam family "Bacterial small subunit ribosomal RNA", at positions 1294 to 1533 of the family's 1533-position model. RNAcentral also lists the same sequence under 1 other name. The record is from RNAcentral. Lineage: Bacteria; Pseudomonadati; Pseudomonadota; Gammaproteobacteria.